Molecule: transfer RNA, 85 nt
Filed under: Felis catus (domestic cat)
Lineage: Eukaryota; Metazoa; Chordata; Mammalia; Carnivora; Felidae
Rfam family: tRNA
About the family: Transfer RNA (tRNA) molecules are approximately 80 nucleotides in length.
Source: Rfam by way of RNAcentral
ACCUGGGUGGCUCAGUGGGUUGAGCGUUUGACUUAGGCUCAGGUCAUGAUCUCAUGGUCAGUGGGUUCGAGUCCCACAUCAGGCU